This is a long non-coding RNA of Carassius gibelio (silver crucian carp), 2424 nucleotides long. RefSeq lists it as uncharacterized. Lineage: Eukaryota; Metazoa; Chordata; Actinopteri; Cypriniformes; Cyprinidae. The transcript is spliced from 4 exons. The record is from RefSeq and is a predicted model, not a curated record.
UUAAAUAAAAAAAGUUACAAAAAAGGAACUUUUUUUCAUGAUAUUCACAUUUCUUCAAGAUGCACCUUAUACACACACAUACACACAUACAUACAUAUAUGAGUUUUCGUAAAAGCAACAAUACAAAAUCUUAAACUAUAAAAGUGCCACUUUGUCCCACUAUUAUGCGCAGGCCUGGCAUUUUGCACUGGGCUAUAGAACUACAAAAUUAAUUUUAAAUUACCAAUAUCAUGAUUGAAUGACAUUUUGAAUUAUGUAGUGAUCUAAUUCUAUCCACCAAGCAAUGUAUGUGAAUGUGUGAGACUUAUGGUCAUGGUUAUAGGGAAAUAACAAGAAGAACAAAGUGCAGUAAACGGUAAAACUGUUUGCACUACAAACCAGUACGUUCAUAAUUAAGACAAUACAUUAAAAAUAACAUGGUGAGAUACAGCAGUUUGCAACAGUAAACAGCAAAACAAGCUGUUUGUACAGCUAAUAUAGCUGGAAUGACACCGAAAGCCAGACACAUUAAAUUUACAAAUGGCCGCGCCCCCUCUUACAGAAAAAAAAUAAGGGGCAUAUGUUUAUUAAUAUGUUUAUUUAUUUAACGUAAGCGUUUGACUUUUAAUUCGUGACGUGCUUUCAUGGGCGUGCGCGCGGACCGGAUGGAGUUGCCAUGGAAACGGAGCGCAACACUGCAAAUGUCACGAGGAAACACCCCGUUUCUCGCUGAUUUCACUGUUUUCAGGUGAGUUAAGUCCAUAAAAUCACACAAAUAUUACUUAUAACUGUUGUUGACACUUCUAUUACUUGUAUUUGACUCGCUUCUGUUGUUUAUUUACUUUAUAGGAAUGGUUUAAUGUCUUCGAAAAAGUCAGUUAGCAUUUCUACCGUUUUCAGACGACGUAUCGUCAGGUAUGAUAACACUAUUGUGCUCUUAUUUAUUAAAGUUUGGGCUUUUAAUCAAAUCUUCAUCUGUAGAUAAUAGCUUUUGACUGUUUUGUUGGGAAUCUUUCAAUGGAUGGUUGGAAAUUGCUUAAUUUAUUUAACCUUAACAUUUACACUUUACUGUUUAUCGAUGACGUCACGUUAUCAAGGAGCACGAAAAUUGGCAGAAAACUAAAGUUGUUUACCAUCUUUUAUGGUAAACAUAAAACUGUUCUGCGAUUUCAAGAGUGACAAAAUAAUCCUUCUACAACAGAAGGGAGUUUUCAAGAUUUCAAUAUUUCUGAAGGGAGCUGCUGACAGAGAUGUAGGAAGCGCUGAAAAGAUUCUCCAGUGCUGAUGGCCUGCUGCAUCCAGCAGAGUCGGAGUGAACCUACUGUAAGACAACAUCUCCAAGAUGCUAUUGACCACAAGACUAGAACAGGUUAUUAGAAACUGCACAGCACAGGACUUGCAGGACUUGUGAGGACUUCAGAUGAUACCAGUACUCAAAAGACCUUAGAUGAUGGCAACUAUAGAUGGACAUACAAACUACCGCCACUGCAAAAAAGAUUCUAAUUUGAAAGAAGUUUAUAAUGCAUGUUCACUACUCCCAAUUCAGAAGACUGAAUCAGCCUGUGUAUCUGAAUGUUUCUCAAACUCACUCCUCUCUGCCGCGUCUGAAUUUGGGAUUUUCCUUAGCUGUCAGUUAUAAACGUCAAAAUUAAAAGAAAUAAACAUUUGAAAUAUAGCAGUCUGUGUGUAAUGAAUAAAUAUAAUAUACAAGUUUCACUUUUUGAAUGGAAUUAGUGAAAUAAAUCAACUUUUUGAUGAUAUUCUAAUUAUAUGACCAGCACCUGUAUAUCAUUGCUCUUUUGUUGAUUUUGAUUGCUUCCAUUGUGCUCAUUUGUAAGUUGCUUUGGAUAAAAGUGUCUGCUAAAUGUAAAUGUAAUGUUAAUGUGUAUUUAACUAUAUUUAUAAAUAUUUAUCUCUAUUUUUUAUUUUGUAAUAAUGUAGAUGUAUUUGUUUUAUAUCUAUGCAUGCAGUUGUAUUCAUGUAUGUAUAUUUAUUUGUCUAAUUUUUAUAUUUUAAUAAAGCAGUUUAGACAACAUGAGUGUUUUCUUUAUUCUGGAUGAAUUACAUAUUCUUUUGUGUCUAGAAAGGGUAAAUAUGGGCCAUAUCUAACCCAGAAGUCAGCCACAACUGGGACGGAUCUGGGCCACAUCUCAGAAAUGGCGUGGUUGACAUCUGGGCCAGGUGUCGCCCAUGCCAUUUGUGAGAUGCGGCAUGGAUCUGGUACAGUUGUGGCCGACUUCUGUCAGACAAAACUGGGCCAGAUCUGGCCCUGAUGUCACCCACACCAUUUCAGAGAUGUGGCCCAGAUCUGAUUCAGUUGUGGCUGACAUAUGUCAGCCAGACUCAGGUUGAGUCAUCGCCGUCAUUCCGCGCGGUAUGUGGGCCAGAAGAAUAUGGGAGAUGUGGGCCAGAACUGGGCCACAUGUCAUUUGCUAUCUGGGUAGU